RNAcentral lists this unclassified non-coding RNA (338 nucleotides) under uncultured Bordetella sp. Its description in RNAcentral is "partial 16S-23S ribosomal RNA intergenic spacer". The record is from RNAcentral. Lineage: Bacteria; Pseudomonadati; Pseudomonadota; Betaproteobacteria; Burkholderiales; Alcaligenaceae.
ACUACAGGGGUAUCUAAUCCUGUUUGCUCCCCGCUUUCGUUACAGGCGUCAGUGUUAUCCCGGGAGAGGCUGCCUUCGCCAUCGGUGUUCCUCCGCAUAUCUACGCAUUUCACUACACGCGGGAAUUCACCUCCCUCUGACACACUCUAGCUCGGUAGUUAAAAAUGCAGUUCAAAGUUAAGCUCUGGGAUUUCACAUCUUUCUUUCCGAACCGCCUGCGCACGCUUUACGCCCAGUAAUAAUUCCGAUUAACACUUGCACCCUACGUAUUGCCGCGGCUGCUGGCUGUGGUUAACCGGUGCUUAUUCUGGUACCGUCAGUUGCGCAGGGUAUUGCUU